UACGGAGGGUGCAAGCGUUAUCCGGAUUUAUUGGGUUUAAAGGGUCCGUAGGCGGACUCAUAAGUCAGUGGUGAAAUCCUGCAGCUCAACUGUAGAACUGCCAUUGAUACUGUGAGUCUUGAAUUCGGUUGAAGUGGGCGGAAUAUGACAUGUAGCGGUGAAAUGCUUAGAUAUGUCAUAGAACACCGAUUGCGAAGGCAGCUCACUAAGCCUGGAUUGACGCUGAUGGACGAAAGCGUGGGUAGCGAACAGG
This 253-nucleotide ribosomal RNA is filed under the name uncultured bacterium. Its description in RNAcentral is "partial 16S ribosomal RNA". It matches the Rfam family "Bacterial small subunit ribosomal RNA", at positions 524 to 776 of the family's 1533-position model. The record is from RNAcentral.